Long non-coding RNA from Clupea harengus (Atlantic herring), 2738 nucleotides. RefSeq lists it as uncharacterized. NCBI's taxonomy places the organism in Eukaryota, Metazoa, Chordata, Actinopteri, Clupeiformes, Clupeidae. The record is from RefSeq and is a predicted model, not a curated record.
UGACUCAGCCUUGUGCUACUGGUCCUAUUCUUAGUAACACUGUAUCUCUGUAUUGCAUAACUGAAUAUCACAGUAAGGUCAGCAUCCACACGUGUUAGUGUAAGUAGUUCACUUACAAAUCACUGAUGAUUUUCCAUGUCUGAGUGCGUAGAAGAGGUCUGAGUUAUAUUCCAGCUUGUUACUUUUUACACUGACUGGGGAUGAUAUCCUCAGGCAGUGGUUCAACUUCCAGCAACUUCCUCCUGUUACUCUAUCAUGGGUUUGCAUGCGGUCACCCCUAUCUGUAGUUGGAAUGCUGACAACACAACCUUUCUGUUCCAUGAACCGAGGGGAUUUACACCCACAGAAAGGCAGGGAUCCUGCCAGUGGCCAACUGCAGGGGCUGAUGGUGGGGAGGGGGACGUAUCUGACCACUGCAGCCCCUGCUCCAGGAUUAAAGGGAGGAAGCAUGGAUGAGGGUAAGAUCUCAGACGAUGACCUUGCUCCUGGCCAGGCGGCUCUGGUGGAGGUAUGACAGGCAGCUAUAACCUGUACCUGACAUCUUCAGCGCACAUUACACCAGGUUCCAGCCAAACUGUUUGGGGAAGCGAGGGGGAAGAUCCUUGGCGGUGAUUGACAGAGGAAUCCAUGCAGCAGCAGCAGCAGCAGCAACAGCAGUUAAGAUUUAAAUCAGUUCAUUAAAGUUCAUUAAAAACUUUUCUUUAAAUCUGCCAGGGCCUUGUUAUCUUUUAAGUUUCUUUUUUUUCAGUUUGUGUUUUGUUCAGUUGUUUACAGCACAUUUUUAUACUAAUGCAGAGUUGUACUGUUCGACAUCUGUUGUGUAAAAUCACAGAUGCUGCAUCUUUGGGGACUGAAUCAGUCAUGCAUUAAAAGUAGUCUGGUUAUACCGUAGCCCAAGAUGUUCAGUUAGAAAGGACUUCCUAUUGUUGUGGAACCUUUCUGUGUGAAUAUAACUUCAUGAGGCGAUAAUAACAGACUUUUACCUUUGCAUAGGAAAUUGCUAAUAACAUGGCAAAACGUAUACGUACAAAUUGUAAUUACAUCGGCAAUAUACUGUACAAAGAGGCUAGGCUUCAAAUAAUCGAAGUUAAGGUAAGAAUUCUUGGCAUAGAGAUUUAGCAUUUUGACCUUUAACAGUCUGUAUCCCCAAGGGUCUCUGAAGGUUGUUACCUGCACCCUAAAACAGAGCAACCCUCUUACACAAGGAGACUACUAAACAUAUGCUAAAUUCCAAUAUUCUGUGUACGCUUGCAAAUUGUCUCUCCAUUCAUCUCCCUGGCCUCUGCGAGUGUGGACGAGGCACACAGGUGUGUGUCAAAGCCUGCUCUUCAGCGAUAACUGAAAACUGCACAUGGAGAAGUCGGCGAUGCAGACAGCGUGGGAUGAUCAGGGGUCUGCAGAGAAACCAUCUGGGAGGCUGGAGGUAAUGAUAUGGAUUGUUCCUCCUGAAUGAUCGAAGGGGGAGAUUUUUUUGUUUGCAUUCUGUCAUUCUGCUGUGCUCUAUUUCCCUGCUUCGCACAAUGUUUUCCAUUUUCCUCACUUCUGUCUCGGCGUCUCACCCGCUCACACUCACACAUGCACACACACACACACACACACACACAGAGACAAACACAGAAACCACACAUUAUUUCAUCUCUACUGCUGUUUCUAUUUGUCCUCCUAUCUCUAGCUUGGUUUGCUCACAAAAAGUUCAGAGGAGAGGAAAGCAUCCACACAAUGUAAUGAUAGUAACCCUAUGAAUACAAUAAGACCCCCAUUAUGUUGUAAGAGCAUUGUGUUUGCAUGCUGGCUGUACUCUCUCCCCUUCGACACCCUGUAACCUGUAUGUAGGCUCUGCAUGGUCUACAUCCGUUAUGCCAAUAUUAUGUAUUAGGGAUGUUGGGGGGAGAGAAGUUGCUCUUUAUUAUUCAGCUCCAUGAUUGACUUGCUUGUGCGUCAGCCAUUAUGUUUCUUCAAAUUGUAAGGCAGAAAUGGAUCCUAGGAAUGGAAAAUCACAGAUGGCCUUCUUCCUCUGGUAACUGCUCAUUUGGUGAGGCCUAGGUGUUGGUUUAUGGUCCCUCCAACAAACAUUCCAGAGAUGCACUGUCCCAAUUGUUGAUCUUCCCACCCCCUGCUGAGACUCUUAUCUCAAACCUAUGUGCCUGGUUCUCUCUCUGUGCUUUUCCAUGCCGGGGUGAAACUAGGGGCAGAGAAAUGAAUGUAAGAGUGCUUAAGUGAAAUACUGCAUUGUAAUAUGAUUUCUUUGUCAUGUUUGGGUUUAUUUGAAUGGUCUCAGUCUGAGUGAUAAAGUGGUCUCAGUCCUGCAGCUGCAUAGAUUAGUUUUAACAUGGAUCUCAAAGACAUGAGAAUUCCGGUCUCUGUAAGUCGUAAGGUAACCUCUCUCUGGAGGGGGCAAACACCCUCCUUGGGUGAGAACCCCCUCCAUUUGUCUCUGUUAAUGUGUGAUCCUAAGCACGAGAAACCACUGCUCAUGUGGGUAAUUAAUAAACCAGAUGCAGGACUAAAAUGGGUACUUAAGGGUAAGACAGUCAAAGAACUUGGAGCAUUCUGUCUUCAGAUCUCCCUCACAUCCGUGUGAGUAGUCACUUCUAAGCAGCAGGUAUGUUCAUGUUCUCUAAGUGUUUUUAUGUUUCAUGUGGUGUUUUAGACUUAUGUUCUUCACUUUAGACUUGUUAGAUUUGUAACCUGUAGUAGUCACUUGUACCUGACGUAAUAAAUUGGUAAUUCUGACCCAC